CACGCUUAUAUCUUUAAACAUUUGUUUGAUUGCACUAAAAAAGAAAUAGUUUGCACUUAUAAAAAGAAAUUAGUAUUACCAAAAAUAAAAAAAUUGGAAUACAUAUCAAAGUUCCAAAUUCGGGCGGCAGAAUGCAGCACACACCUUACCUCAGGUUCUCCAACAUUGAAAGGAAUGCUGGGAUGAGACAUUAUUCUUAAUUACCAAGUAGUGCUAGAAACCGAUGUUGAAGAAGAUGCAGCAGCAACAUCCUGAAGGUAUAAUUCAGUUUCUUCCCAAAUUUCUUCAACAUAUACAUUUUCAUGAGAAUACCGAAUCGUCUCCAACUCCAGUGUUACUUGUUUCAUUGUAGGCCGUUUCUUUCCAUUAAGGUUUAGGCAUCUCUUUGCAAGGUUAGCAACAGCCAUGACUUCUUCUUUGAUGGAAUAUUGCUCUAUAAUUCGAGGGUCGAUUAUCUCAAAAAGUUUGUUAUUUUCCAUCAUUUGAAUAAAAAUUGUUGCUAAACUAGUUACUUCCUCGGACUUUGCUGAGCAAAUUGGCUCUUGUCCAGUCAACAGCUCAACAAGCACUACCCCAAAACUAUAAACAUCACUUUUCUCUGUA
Molecule: unclassified non-coding RNA, 603 nt
Filed under: Hevea brasiliensis (rubber tree)
Lineage: Eukaryota; Viridiplantae; Streptophyta; Magnoliopsida; Malpighiales; Euphorbiaceae
Source: RNAcentral